GACGAACGCUGGCGGCGUGCCUAAUACAUGCAAGUUGAGCGCUGAAGGUUGGUACUUGUACCAACUGGAUGAGCAGCGAACGGGUGAGUAGCGCGUGGGGAAUCUGCCUUUGAGCGGGGGACAACAUUUGGAAACGAAUGCUAAUACCGCAUAAAAACUUUAAACACAAGUUUUAAGUUUGAAAGAUGCAAUUGCAUCACUCAAAGAUGAUCCCGCGUUGUAUUAGCUAGUUGGUGAGGUAAAGGCUCACCAAGGCGAUGAUACAUAGCCGACCUGAGAGGGUGAUCGGCCACAUUGGGACUGAGACACGGCCCAAACUCCUACGGGAGGCAGCAGUAGGGAAUCUUCGGCAAUGGACGAAAGUCUGACCGAGCAACGCCGCGUGAGUGAAGAGGGUUUUCGGAUCGUAAAACUCUGUUGGUAGAGAAGAACGUUGGUGAGAGUGGAAAGCUCAUCAAGUGACGGUAACUACCCAGAAAGGAACGGCUAACUACGUG
Molecule: ribosomal RNA, 497 nt
Filed under: uncultured bacterium
Lineage: Bacteria
Description: partial 16S ribosomal RNA
Rfam family: Bacterial small subunit ribosomal RNA
Source: RNAcentral